Molecule: small nuclear RNA, 110 nt
Filed under: Canis lupus dingo (dingo)
Lineage: Eukaryota; Metazoa; Chordata; Mammalia; Carnivora; Canidae
Description: U4 spliceosomal RNA (ENSCAFG00020008044.1)
Rfam family: U4 spliceosomal RNA
About the family: U4 small nuclear RNA (U4 snRNA) is a component of the major U2-dependent spliceosome. The structure of U4 snRNA from yeast and human has been reported.
Source: RNAcentral
AGCUUUGUGCAGUGGCAGUAUCAUAGCCAAUGAGGUUUAUCCAAGGUGUGAUUAUGGGUAAUUUAAAACAUUUCCCUGAUGAUUAGUAAUAUUGAACAUGCUUUUGUGCG